This 707-nucleotide long non-coding RNA is filed under the name Gossypium barbadense (sea-island cotton). Its description in RNAcentral is "long non-coding RNA (GBAR_LNC023341)". The record is from RNAcentral. Lineage: Eukaryota; Viridiplantae; Streptophyta; Magnoliopsida; Malvales; Malvaceae.
UUGGUAAUUGUUUUCUGCAAAAAAUUAUGUGAAUAUAUAUUUAUUGCAAAAAAUCAUAAAACAAAAUAAAAAUCAGACAUCCUCUGAUUCUGUAAUAAUUGUAUGUACAUUAUAUAAAAACUAACUGAUCUAAAUAUUGGGAAAAAUAUUUUUAAAAAAAAUCUAUAUCAAAAAAUGAAGAACAAAUUCAUAUAAGUGGCAGCUAGUUGUUGAUGUCGUUGAUUCCAUGGCUAGGUGAAGAAGGUGGUAUCGGUGCUCCCUUGGGAAGCAUGCUGAAGAUCGUCGGACCAUAUUUUCCGGCGAGUCUUUGAGUCGGAGACUUAAGGAUUCCGACGUGGGGUUUCUUCAUGGGAACCAUAUGAUCACAUGGCUGAGGUUGAGUCUCAGGGUGUUUUUUCGACACGUCGAGAACGACGUCGGUUUUGUGGUCUUCGACUUCGACGAGAUCGGCUAAAGCAAGGUCCAAGGUUGUCUCCGUGGUGGACGGCGGCGAGUCGCUCAAGAGCCUGGCGGAAGAUGGCGAUGUAAAGGUGGUGGAAAGAUGAAGAAUAAGAGGAGCACGGCGGCGAGGUGUUGGGAUUUAUAGAAGGUAGCCAUUAAUGGACAGUUGUCGGAGGAUUAAUUUGAAUGUUUUCUUGGGUUUAAAGGGCUUCCCUUUUACGAUUAAUUUGAAAGGUUUUGAGGGUUUAUAUAACACAUGAAAUGGG